RNAcentral lists this ribosomal RNA (568 nucleotides) under uncultured bacterium. Its description in RNAcentral is "bacterial SSU rRNA". It matches the Rfam family "Bacterial small subunit ribosomal RNA", at positions 338 to 916 of the family's 1533-position model. The record is from RNAcentral.
CCUACGGGAGGCAGCAGUGGGGAAUAUUGCACAAUGGGCGAAAGCCUGAUGCAGCGACGCCGCGUGAGGGAUGACGGCCUUCGGGUUGUAAACCUCUUUCAGCAGGGAAGAAGCGAAAGUGACGGUACCUGCAGAAGAAGCGCCGGCUAACUACGUGCCAGCAGCCGCGGUAAUACGUAGGGCGCAAGCGUUGUCCGGAAUUAUUGGGCGUAAAGAGCUCGCAGGCGGCUUGUCACGUCGGAUGUGAAAGCCCGAGGCUUAACCUCGGGUCUGCAUUCGAUACGGGCUAGCUAGAGUGUGGUAGGGGAGAUCGGAAUUCCUGGUGUAGCGGUGAAAUGCGCAGAUAUCAGGAGGAACACCGGUGGCGAAGGCGGAUCUCUGGGCCAUUACUGACGCUGAGGAGCGAAAGCGUGGGGAGCGAACAGGAUUAGAUACCCUGGUAGUCCACGCCGUAAACGUUGGGAACUAGGUGUUGGCGACAUUCCACGUCGUCGGUGCCGCAGCUAACGCAUUAAGUUCCCCGCCUGGGGAGUACGGCCGCAAGGCUAAAACUUAAAGGAAUUGACGG